GAUCUCCGGUUCACUCAACCAUCAAAGCGUAUGACCUCUUCCGACCCCCGGUUCACUCAACAAUUAAAGCGUAUGGCUUCUAUCGUCUACGGACAUUGAACCUCUUACGGCAAACCUACUUGACAACUGAUGAUAACAUGAUUCAACGAUGACUCGAGAACUUCGACCUAAUCUCCAACAGUAACAGCGCUGACUCAUACGAUCGGGCAUUAAUUUUCACUCCAUACCAGAUUGUACGACAGGCAGUUUGCCCCGUCACAUCACAGGUAACCCAGCCCCCUCUAUAAAAGGAGACUCCUCCAUU
This 304-nucleotide long non-coding RNA is filed under the name Phoenix dactylifera (date palm). RNAcentral's name for it is "long non-coding RNA (PDAC_LNC005471)". Lineage: Eukaryota; Viridiplantae; Streptophyta; Magnoliopsida; Arecales; Arecaceae. The record is from RNAcentral.